CAGCCGCCACGGGAAUACGUAGGUGGCAAGCGUUGUCCGGAAUUAUUGGGCGUAAAGGGCUCGCAGGUGGUUUCUUAAGUCUGAUGUGAAAGCCCCCGGCUCAACCGGGGAGGGUCAUUGGAAACUGGGAAACUUGAGUGCAGAAGAGGAGAGUGGAAUUCCACGUGUAGCGGUGAAAUGCGUAGAGAUGUGGGGGAACACCAGUGGCGAAGGCGACUCUCUGGUCUGUAACUGACGCUGAGGAGCGAAAGCGUGGGGAGCGAACAGGAUUAGAUACCCCUGUAGUCCCUGUCUCUUAUAC
This 301-nucleotide ribosomal RNA is filed under the name uncultured bacterium. RNAcentral's name for it is "partial 16S ribosomal RNA". It matches the Rfam family "Bacterial small subunit ribosomal RNA", at positions 509 to 807 of the family's 1533-position model. The record is from RNAcentral.